GAUGAACGCUGGCGGCGUGCUUAACACAUGCAAGUCGAACGGAAACAGGAUGAAGCCUAGCGAUUCCUGUUUUAGUGGCGGACGGGUGAGUGACGCGUGGGUAACCUGCCUUACACUGGGGGAUAACAGUUAGAAAUAGCUGCUAAUACCGCAUAAGCGCACAGGGCCGCAUGGCCUGGUGUGAAAAACUCCGGUGGUGUAAGAUGGACCCGCGUCUGAUUAGCUAGUUGGUGAGGUAACGGCCCACCAAGGCGACGAUCAGUAGCCGGCCUGAGAGGGUGAACGGCCACAUUGGGACUGAGACACGGCCCAAACUCCUACGGGAGGCAGCAGUGGGGAAUAUUGCACAAUGGGGGAAACCCUGAUGCAGCGACGCCGCGUGAGUGAAGAAGUAUUUCGGUAUGUAAAGCUCUAUCAGCAAGGAAGAAAAUGACGGUACUUGACUAAGAAGCCCCGGCUAACUACGUGCCAGCCGCCGCAGUAA
Molecule: ribosomal RNA, 484 nt
Filed under: uncultured bacterium
Lineage: Bacteria
Description: partial 16S ribosomal RNA
Rfam family: Bacterial small subunit ribosomal RNA
Source: RNAcentral